RNAcentral lists this ribosomal RNA (253 nucleotides) under uncultured bacterium. Its description in RNAcentral is "partial 16S ribosomal RNA". It matches the Rfam family "Bacterial small subunit ribosomal RNA", at positions 524 to 776 of the family's 1533-position model. The record is from RNAcentral.
UACGUAGGGCGCAAGCGUUAUCCGGAAUUAUUGGGCGUAAAGAGCUCGUAGGCGGUUUGUCGCGUCUGCCGUGAAAAUCCGGGGCUCAACCCCGGACUUGCAGUGGGUACGGGCAGACUAGAGUGUGGUAGGGGAGACUGGAAUUCCUGGUGUAGCGGUGAAAUGCGUAGAGAUCGGCAGGAACACCCAGGGGGAAACCAGCCGACUGGGCAUCUACUGACGCUGAGGUGCGAGAGCGUGGGGAGCGAACCGG